This 450-nucleotide ribosomal RNA is filed under the name uncultured bacterium. RNAcentral's name for it is "partial 16S ribosomal RNA". It matches the Rfam family "Bacterial small subunit ribosomal RNA", at positions 354 to 796 of the family's 1533-position model. The record is from RNAcentral.
GUGGGGAAUAUUCCGCAAUGGACGAAAGUCUGACGGAGCAACGCCGCGUGAGUGAUGAAGGUUUUCGGACUGUAAAGCUCUGUUGUUUAGGACGAAAGUGCCUGUUGCGAAUAGUUACAGGUAUUGACGGUACUGAACGAGGAAGCCACGGCUAACUACGUGCCAGCAGCCGCGGUAAUACGUAGGUGGCAAGCGUUGUCCGGAAUUAUUGGGCGUAAAGAGCAUGUAGGCGGGAAUCUAAGUCUGUUGUGAAAAUGCGGGGCUCAACCCCGUAUUGCGAUGGAAACUGGGUGUCUUGAGUGCAGGAGAGGAAAGGGGAAUUCCCAGUGUAGCGGUGAAAUGCGUAGAUAUUGGGAGGAACACCAGUGGCGAAGGCGCCUUUCUGGACUGUGUCUGACGCUGAGAUGCGAAAGCCAGGGUAGCGAACGGGAUUAGAAACCCGUGUAGUCC